CCAUGCCCGACAAGGUUGGGUCCUCCACGUUCACAUCCAUCCAGACCCAUCUUUAAAUUGCCAAAUACCGUCCGGACCUCAGUGACAUAAUCCUCCCAAAUCCCGCGAUCCCGCUCUCAAUUUCUGCGAUGUGGUUGCACUCUCAAUUUUUCCUCUCACAAAUUUCAAUAAUUUGAAUUGUAUUUCAAAGGCACUUUCACACUUGAGUUUCCGCUCUCGCACGUACGAAUGUCACUUAGGUUCAGACAGAAUGAUUCUCAAAAAACUAAAAACAAGAAAGAGUCCAGACAGAAAAUUACAGAACCAUGGUAAAUGCUCAAAUCGUAAGCACGUUUUUCUGUCAGAUUUUUGUGCAGAGAGAAAGUCUGUGAGUUCCUGAAUUUUGGUUUCUGCAUUGCAUAUUUAGGACUUGCAAAAUAGUAUCAAAUAAGAUGGAGAUUAGCAUCGUAAACAACCGAGUCAUUUUAUAUUAAGUUUUUGCUAACCUCCACCCAUUAGACGGAAGAUAAUAUGUAUAUAAUGAUAAAUAAAUUUAGAUUUUAAAACACAUUUCACGGAUAUUAAUACAUUUUUUUUAAUAUCGAUACACUUUCUAUCUAUUAUCCCCGUCAAAUAGACGGAAGUUUGCAUUUUCCUUUCUAUUAUUUUUCAGUGGAUAAUACAAGAUCUCGAAGUUAUUGAUAGGUACAAAGUGAUUCAUGAGGUAGGAUAGUGGUGAUGGUGGAAGGUGGCAGCUGUGGAGAGAUAGAAAUGCAAGGUUGCGGGAAGAUGGCGGCGGUGGUUUGGAGAGGUGGGUGGCUUACAAUUUCCUGUAAAUUCAAUCAGAAGUAUGAAAUCUUUUUUUUCUGUCAAAGAAGAAAGUGUUAGGUUCGACCCCAGCAAGGCGGGCUUAGGAGACUCAUACUCGGACCUUAUCCAACCAGGUUCGACUUUUCACUGUUGACUUAUCCAACCAGGUCGGACCUUAUCCAACACGCCAUUGGUGUAAAGUAUGAAUACCAGAUUUAUUUUUUACCACUUACUGCAUUCAAUUUUGAGUGCUGAAUCGAAUUAUAAACAUCUAGAAAAAUCUAGGACUGAAGGGACCAUGUGCAAUGCGUGACAUAACUGCACCCUCACUCAAAUCAACAAACAAUUGCCUUAUUCCUGUAAUCUGAAAAGGAAAAAAAAAAACGCGCGCUGGGGCUAGCUUCAAAAAAAAUUGCUCUAGAUAAUACAAAACCAUGACGAUAUUGAUUGGUGAGUUUGAUAGUGUACACAUUGUCUCACUGCCAAAUUUUUAAGUACAAAAGCUCAUAAAAUUUCAAUCAGAAGACAAUAGCUUUUGGCAUGGACUUCAAUAUUGCAAUCCCACUUGAAAGACCAGAUAUCAAUCAACAGUUACAACAAUGUGAAUACAAGAAUCAUGUUGAUAGCUAUACCUCUACCCCAUGCAAGCUCUCUGCGUUUUGCAUCGCACUGUCGGAUUUACUACAAGAUUCACUGGUCCCGGAUCCUGUCUUUUCUAAAUGUUGCAGGAAAUCCAUCACCAGAGGAUCAGUCCAUGGAGCGCCACGAGGAGCCUCGGCGCCA
Long non-coding RNA from Rhododendron vialii, 1572 nucleotides. RefSeq lists it as uncharacterized. Lineage: Eukaryota; Viridiplantae; Streptophyta; Magnoliopsida; Ericales; Ericaceae. The transcript is spliced from 2 exons. The record is from RefSeq and is a predicted model, not a curated record.